Molecule: unclassified non-coding RNA, 335 nt
Filed under: fungal sp.
Lineage: Eukaryota; Fungi
Description: partial contains 5.8S ribosomal RNA, internal transcribed spacer 2, and large subunit ribosomal RNA
Rfam family: 5.8S ribosomal RNA (bases 1-71)
Source: RNAcentral
GUGAGUCAUCGAAUCUUUGAACGCACCUUGCGCCCUUUGGUAUUCCGAAGGGCAUGCCUGUUUGAGUGUCAUGAAAUCUCAAUCCCACCGGGUUUUACGACCCGGUGUGGGCUUGGAAUUGGGCGUCUGCCGGUCACACGGCUCGCCUCAAAUGACUUAGUGGGACCGCUCGCAUCCACGACAGACGUAAUAAGUUUCGUCUCGUCCCUUGCUUGUGCACGCCCGCUCAGAACCUGACGGUCGUCGACCCCCGUGUCGGCGUCCCGACCUUUAGACUCUGACCUCAAAUCAGGUAGGACUACCCGCUGAACUUAAGCAUAUCAAUAAGCGGAGGA